This 336-nucleotide unclassified non-coding RNA is filed under the name soil metagenome. Its description in RNAcentral is "partial contains 5.8S ribosomal RNA, internal transcribed spacer 2, and large subunit ribosomal RNA". The stretch from base 1 to 120 matches the Rfam family "5.8S ribosomal RNA", at positions 35 to 154 of the family's 154-position model. The record is from RNAcentral.
GAUGAAGAACGUAGCGAAAUGCGAUAAGUAAUGUGAAUUGCAGAAUUCAGUGAAUCAUCGAAUCUUUGAACGCACAUUGCGCCCCUUGGUAUUCCAUGGGGCAUGCCUGUUCGAGCGUCAUUUGUACCUUCAAGCUUUGCUUGGUGUUGGGUGUUUGUCUCGCCUUUGCGUGUAGACUCGCCUUAAAACAAUUGGCAGCCGGCGUAUUGAUUUCGGAGCGCAGUACAUCUCGCGCUUUGCACUCAUAACGACAGCGUCCAAAAGUACAUUUUACACUCUUGACCUCGGAUCAGGUAGGGAUACCCGCUGAACUUAAGCAUAUCAAUAAGCGGAGGA